This is a non-coding RNA of Acanthosepion pharaonis, 113 nucleotides long. The record is from the annotation of a GenBank genome assembly. Lineage: Eukaryota; Metazoa; Mollusca; Cephalopoda; Sepiida; Sepiidae.
UAUGGCCAUAUCACGUUAAAACACUGGUUCCCAUAUGGUCAUUGAAGUUAAACAACAUCAAGCCUGGUCAGUACCUAGAUGGAUGGCUGCUUGGGAAUACCAUUUGCUGUAUG